GCAAGUCGAGCGGUAACAUUUCUAGCUUGCUAGAAGAUGACGAGCGGCGGACGGGUGAGUAAUGCCUGGGAAUAUACCAUAAGGUGGGGGACAACAGUUGGAAACGACUGCUAAUACCGCAUGAUGUCUACGGACCAAAGAGGGCCUCUUCUUGAAAGCUCUUGCCUUUUGAUUAGCCCAGGUGGGAUUAGCUAGUUGGUGAGGUAAAGGCUCACCAAGGCGACGAUCUCUAGCUGGUUUGAGAGGAUGAUC
This 252-nucleotide ribosomal RNA is filed under the name uncultured bacterium. RNAcentral describes it as "partial 16S ribosomal RNA". It matches the Rfam family "Bacterial small subunit ribosomal RNA", at positions 57 to 305 of the family's 1533-position model. The record is from RNAcentral.